Molecule: transfer RNA, 86 nt
Filed under: Campylobacter fetus
Lineage: Bacteria; Pseudomonadati; Campylobacterota; Epsilonproteobacteria; Campylobacterales; Campylobacteraceae
Also listed under: 27 other names
Description: tRNA-Leu
Rfam family: tRNA
About the family: Transfer RNA (tRNA) molecules are approximately 80 nucleotides in length.
Source: RNAcentral
GCGAUCAUGGUGGAAUUGGUAGACACGCUAUCUUGAGGGGGUAGUGCCGCUACGGUGUGCGAGUUCGAGUCUCGCUGAUCGCACCA